RNAcentral lists this small RNA (127 nucleotides) under Marmota monax (woodchuck). The record is from RNAcentral. Lineage: Eukaryota; Metazoa; Chordata; Mammalia; Rodentia; Sciuridae.
GCCAGGAGCCGUGGUAUACACUUGUAAUCCCAGCAGCUUGGGAGGCUGAGGCAGGAGGAUCACAAGUUCAAAGCCAGCCUCAGCAAAUUAGUGAGGCCCUAUAGAACAUAGUGAGACCCUGUCUCAA